GAUGAACGCUGGCGGCGUGCCUAAUACAUGCAAGUCGAGCGAACAGACGAGGAGCUUGCUCCUCUGACGUUAGCGGCGGACGGGUGAGUAACACGUGGAUAAUCUACCUAUAAGACUGGGAUAACUUCGGGAAACCGGAGCUAAUACCGGAUAAUAUAUUGAACCGCAUGGUUCAAUAGUGAAAGACGGUUUUGCUGUCACUUAUAGAUGGAUCCGCGCCGCAUUAGCUAGUUGGUAAGGUAACGGCUUAUCAAGGCAACGAUGCGUAGCCGACCUGAGAGGGUGAUCGGCCGCACUGGAACUGGGACACGGUCCAGACUCCUACGGGAGGCAGCAGUAGGGAAUCUUCCGCAAUGGGCGAAAGCCUGACGGAGCAACGCCGCGUGAGUGAUGAAGGUCUUCGGAUCGUAAAACUCUGUUAUUAGGGAAGAACAAAUGUGUAAGUAACUAUGCACGUCUUGACGGUACCUAAUCAGAAAGCCACGGCUAACUACGUG
This 497-nucleotide ribosomal RNA is filed under the name uncultured bacterium. RNAcentral's name for it is "partial 16S ribosomal RNA". It matches the Rfam family "Bacterial small subunit ribosomal RNA", at positions 28 to 507 of the family's 1533-position model. The record is from RNAcentral.